CCUCGGUCUUUACUCCAGCGGACACGUGUGAGCGGAGGGAAUCGAACACGUCCUCACUUCAUAGACCCGAACAUCAUCAAGGGCUCCAUCAUGUGUCCCGACAGGUUUAAUCUGGAUCUCAUGCCUUUGGUUGGACACCUGUAUGAUCCUGAUGGAGGAUGAUGGCGGUGGUCUCUGAUCUUCUGAAGAAUGUCCUUCACUAACAUCACAGUCUGCAGUUACCGCAGUGUGACUACUACCGGAAAUGGGUCUGAGAGGACUUCCUGUCUGCAUCAUCGCUGCUUGAAAAGACUCGAGGUUUAAGUUUGGGAAGAUGAAACCACACGAGAUGUUGCAGCAGCUGUGAAAGUCGUAGGAAGUGUUCGAGCUUUACAGGUGAGACACUGGGCUCCUGAAGGAAAGUGGAGCAGUGGAAAGAAAUCCAGUGAACAGUUCAAAACCAUUUAAAGAAAUACAUUGACAUCAUGAUUCCUUUAAGUUUUUGUGUCCGUGUCCCCCCCCAAAGCUGUAAAUGUAAUCUAUUUCUAAUGUCUUACAAAUAAUGCAUUAUGAAUCUACAUUGUACUCUACUGUAAGAAAUAAAAACAUCUUUCAACUCUA
Long non-coding RNA from Limanda limanda (common dab), 600 nucleotides. RefSeq lists it as uncharacterized. The transcript is spliced from 4 exons. The record is from RefSeq and is a predicted model, not a curated record. Lineage: Eukaryota; Metazoa; Chordata; Actinopteri; Pleuronectiformes; Pleuronectidae.